CCUACGGGGGGCAGCAGUAGGGAAUCUUCCGCAAUGGACGAAAGUCUGACGGAGCAACGCCGCGUGAGCGAAGAAGGUCUUCGGAUCGUAAAGCUCUGUUGUCGGGGAAGAACAAGUACGGUAGGAAAUGGUCGUACCUUGACGGUACCCGACGAGAAAGCCACGGCUAACUACGUGCCAGCAGCCGCGGUAAUACGUAGGUGGCAAGCGUUGUCCGGAAUUAUUGGGCGUAAAGCGCGCGCAGGCGGUCCUUUAAGUGUGAUGUGAAAUCUUGCGGCUCAACCGCAAGCCGGCAUUGGAAACUGGGGGACAUGGGUGCAGGAGAGGAAAGCGGAAUUCCACGUGUAGGGGUGAAAAGCGUAAGGAUGUGGAGGAACACCAGUGGCCAAGGCGGGUUUCUGGUCUGUAACUGACGCUGAGGUGGGAAAGGGUGGGGAGCAAACAGGAUUAGAUACCCGAGUAGUC
This 465-nucleotide ribosomal RNA is filed under the name uncultured bacterium. RNAcentral describes it as "bacterial SSU rRNA". It matches the Rfam family "Bacterial small subunit ribosomal RNA", at positions 338 to 795 of the family's 1533-position model. The record is from RNAcentral.